RNAcentral lists this ribosomal RNA (253 nucleotides) under uncultured prokaryote. RNAcentral's name for it is "partial 16S ribosomal RNA". It matches the Rfam family "Bacterial small subunit ribosomal RNA", at positions 525 to 777 of the family's 1533-position model. The record is from RNAcentral.
ACAGAGGGGGCAAGCGUUGUUCGGAAUUACUGGGCGUAAAGGGCUCGUAGGCGGCCAACUAAGUCAUACGUGAAAUCCCUCGGCUUAACCGGGGAACUGCGUCUGAUACUGGAUGGCUUGAGUUCGGGAGAGGGAUGCGGAAUUCCAGGUGUAGCGGUGAAAUGCGUAGAUAUCGUAAGGAAGACCAGUGGCGAAGGCGAGUCUCUGGACAGUUACUGACACUGAGGCACGAAGGCCAGGGGGGCAAACGGGA